Molecule: long non-coding RNA, 835 nt
Filed under: Cervus hanglu yarkandensis (Yarkand deer)
Lineage: Eukaryota; Metazoa; Chordata; Mammalia; Artiodactyla; Cervidae
Description: lncRNA (ENSCHYG00000007243.1)
Source: RNAcentral
AGGAUCACAAACCAGGCCCUGCCCAGUGAAAGCCAAGAAUGAUACCACUACUGUUGUGGAUGCUUCCUGAAGCCACUGGAAUCCUCCAUGGCGGUUGAGAACUCAACAGGGAGAUUUGCUGUGUCACCUCACAGAGCGACUUGUGAAGGGAUAACAACUGAAGUGAACAGUGGAGAUUUACACCAUCCUACCACAAGGCUUCAUUUUCACUUUCACUUUCACCACAAGGGUGGCAAGUGUUCAAAGGUGAAGAGGCAUUUAUGGCGACACUAACAGCCAGUUUUUCUUCACAUUCAAGGUUAUAGAUUUUUUAAAAGGAUCCAUCCCAGAAUCCCACACUGAACUUAUUCAUCCAGAAUCUUGGAUUCUGAACCGCAGAUUCAACCAACUACGGACAGUCAAAGUCAAGAAAUGGGAAGCUCUUCAGUUAUAUGCUCAAUGAAAACUUCAUGCCACUGGCACACAAGCUUUCCCUCCAAGUCGAGCUGAUCCUGGCACGGAACCUGGCUUCAUGAGACACAAAUGCCAGUUUUCUUUCCAGAGCUGAUGCCUUGAGGGUACCCGGAUUUUCACUGGAAGAGAGUACCAUAGCCCAAAAAAGCAAGGAGCCAUCAGGUUGCCAGAAAAUGCAUGGCACUCUGUGCCAGGCCCGAAGCCGCAGCCACCACAGGACGGGAGGAGAACUCCACUCAUGUCAGAUGGAUAAGCCCAGAAGAGUGGAGCACAGUGAGUAUAAAUGGCUUCUGAAAUUGCUAAAGGGUUCCCGGUUCAGUGUUAACUUGGUCAACUUUUGUGGGUCUUUUUCUCAUUUUGUUAGCCUGUAGUCUGUGCCAUG